CUGAAACCUAGGAAGAACAAUAAAUUGAUAAUGCAGAGAGAAAUGCACGGUAUGCCGAUGGCGCAAGGCUAGGGAUUCAAAAAAAGACUAGAUUCGGAUUUGCCUGAAAAAUUCAAGGACUUCUGGAUUACAGAAUUACCUUCUACCUCUACAAAAUAUGAAAAUACAAUUCAAAAUAUAAGAUAAAGAUUAGCUGAAACCACAU
This 205-nucleotide long non-coding RNA is filed under the name Elaeis guineensis (African oil palm). RNAcentral's name for it is "long non-coding RNA (EGUI_LNC028037)". Lineage: Eukaryota; Viridiplantae; Streptophyta; Magnoliopsida; Arecales; Arecaceae. The record is from RNAcentral.